UCUUCCGUAGUAUAGUGGUCAGUAUGCAAGCUUGUCACGCUUGAGACCCGUUCAAUUCCCGGCGGGAGAG
RNAcentral lists this transfer RNA (70 nucleotides) under Fusarium proliferatum. It matches the Rfam family "tRNA". From Rfam's summary of the family: Transfer RNA (tRNA) molecules are approximately 80 nucleotides in length. Their secondary structure includes four short double-helical elements and three loops (D, anti-codon, and T loops). Further hydrogen bonds mediate the characteristic L-shaped molecular structure. tRNAs have two regions of fundamental functional importance: the anti-codon, which is responsible for specific mRNA codon recognition, and the 3' end, to which the tRNAs corresponding amino acid is attached (by aminoacyl-tRNA synthetases). tRNAs cope with the degeneracy of the genetic code in two manners: having more than one tRNA (with a specific anti-codon) for a particular amino acid; and 'wobble' base-pairing, i.e. permitting non-standard base-pairing at the 3rd anti-codon position. Lineage: Eukaryota; Fungi; Ascomycota; Sordariomycetes; Hypocreales; Nectriaceae. The record is from RNAcentral.